AAAACAGAAGUUGUUGGUAACAGAAGUAGCAGUGGCGUAAAGAGAAGAGAUCCGACAAUAUGUUGCUUCACAGUGUACUCAUAGCUAUCUAGUCUUUGUCGAAGAGGAUUACACUUACGACCCCUGCCAAAAUAAUUCAGCAACUGUAUGAAGAACUUGAAGCAAAGAAACAUCAAAAUCACAGAGACAACUAAAUCUCAAGACAUUUUCCUGUUUUCUACCAAAAAAAAAAAAAUAUCAAGCACCCAUUAAUUAUGUAAAAGAAGGGCCUAGUCAUACGAGUAGGUUUCAUUUGUAAUUGCAACCUAUAAUGCAGUAAAGUUGAAAUAUGCCCGUCCCACAAAAACAAACAGUCACCAGCCAACCUCUUUCAGAAAUAAUACUACUUCAAAGUACAUAAUAACAAUUUAUGUGAUCAAUAGAUAUGAAGCACUCAUUAGAUCAUGUAAAAAGAAGGGCCUAGUCUUAAUAGUAGGUUUCAUCUGUAAUUGCAACUUGCAAGUGAGAAUCUUAAUGAUUUUAAUCAGAAAAAGUUUUAGUUCAGGCUAACCUGAACAAGCGCCACAAAGCUGCUAAUGCCUGUAUCUGCUGAGAGUACAAAAGUGAUAUCAUCCAAUGGAGGGUUGAAACAUGCAACGUCACUACCACAAUCAUGUCUCUAACCAAGGCAGCAGGUACAGUCAUCCCAAAAAGAAUUCCUAACAUAGCAAGUCCUUUCACCAAAUAAACCAAGAGGGAAUCAACAAAGAACCAGAGUGUAGACCAUAUUUGGAUGGCAUUAAGGGAAAUCAUGCCAAGAACUCCAGCCAACUCGGUAUUCAACUUGAAACCUGCUGGCACUCCCAUCAACCAUACACAACCUGUACGCAACAGCUCAUUUGUAGUAUCAUUGGCAAAGUCCGAAACCCAUAAGCAGACUGAUUCCGCAUUAAACAACAGUGAAAAACCAAUCAAGUUUCCCAAAAGCAAAUCGACAGCUAAGCUUGACCACAUGGAGUGCUUACGUAAUGCAGCUUUCUCAGCAUAUUCAACACAUGACUGAGACCUUACAAAAAAUAAAAAAUAAAAUAAAAUAAAUUAUGCUACAAGAAAUAAAAGGGCCUGUUCCAGAAAAUGAAGACAACAAUAGAUCAAAUGUAAUACACUUAAGAUCAUGGUAUCCAGUCCAUCUAGGUUGGACCAAAUAGGCUAACAAUUCAACUGGUUAACCAUGAGCUUUCCGAAUAAGAAAAACAGAGAAAUAAAUUUUAUUUUUUUCUUUUUCUUGGUAGGAAUUACAAGCUCCUUUUGUAAAUGAGAGAAUAGAGAAAUAAACAACAUUUUAAAUGAUUCUAAAUUAAAUAAUCAAAGUAUAUAAUUUCAUUUUCUACCACAAAGGAAAACCUCAUAAAUAAAAAAACUCCAAUAUAUGUUACCGAGAGCCUCUUGUCACCUGGAGUCAUUGUCCUGAAGAAGGAUAGGCCAAAACAAGAUCUGACCACAACGAAUUUGGAUAUUUAUCCAAGCAGUGUUGAAUAAACUUUUUGAUGUAGUGUAUAUCCACGAUUGUGAUCCAAAACCCAGAAGGCUAUGAAGAAACUGAAGAAAAAUAUAGAAUAUAGUGGACAACGAAGCCAUAGACACAGCCAAUAACUGCCACACCAGAGCAAUAAGCCUAAAAACAACACAUGCCAUUAGAAAGUGCACAGGAAACUAGGAUAGUGUAAUCACCAAAGACUAGAGAAAUACAUGCAAAUAAUAGAAAACUUAGUGAAAGGCCUGCUGGAGCCAACAUGUCUCUCAAAGACCAUUUUGGAAGCAGUGGCACUAUUCAUUGCUAGAAUCACUGCAUCCUGAAUUGAGGAAGACAAAAAUACAAAUUUUCAGUCACUAAAGAAUUUUUGAAACAUGGUAUAUAGCACAAAGGGCAAUCUUGCAAACUACUUUACCAAGUCAUUGAGAGGUUGCUUCUGGUGAAGUUCAUCAAUCCACUUGGGUUCCUUGAGAGGAAUUUUCACCUUUUUGAAAGAAUUCCAACAACUCAAGGAGAAAUGGCGUGCACCAUAUGUGGGAGUUUCAUAAAGUAUCACCUAAAAUUUUCAAACAGAAAGGAGAUUUACCACAACUGAAAAAAACAACUUAAACAUAUAUCAAGCAGUAAAGUAAUCAUGACUUAUCUUUAAAAAUUGAAAAAAAAAAAGGGUAAUCAUGACUUACAUACGUGGACAUCGCACUGAGACACCAAUCGCCCGUUCCAGUGAAUGUGAUGCAAUUUGGGAAUACAGUGAAUAUUUCUACCAUGAAUUUCAUAAGGAUCAUAUGCCAUCUCAAUCCAGUGAUUGCUUCCAGUAGCAGCUUGCGUAUGUUUCUCUAGUAAGCCAUCAAGUUUGUGGCACCCACAAUAGUAUCUUCUAUUUCUCUUUCUUAGCAUACCCUCACUGUUUAGUGCACAAGCAAUAUGACAAGUAGAAUACUUUUUUUUAUCAUUAUCUCCCACUCCAAUCCCGAACAACUGAUCAUUAUCGCUGGGACAUGCGGCACACUGACCAAGCAAAGAAAACAUUGACUUAUCCUGUAAAGUUAUAGACAUGCUCCUGUUUGUAUCGCAGAGGAUUUCCUGAUAACAAGAAAUAGUGCACACUGUAAGAUAUAAUCUAGAACUAAAAUCCUUCAUAUAUCCACUUCAAAUGCACGAAAAUAUGCUUCAUUAACUCCAUAAAGCCUUUAACACACAAAAAAUCAGAGCAACCUCCAUUGCAGCUUCAUUACCCCUCCGGACAGACCAAUAUCCAUCAAAAGAGUUUAGCGUAAUCAAACCUCAUCACAACAUCUCCCCAAACUCAAUAACGUGUUACUAAGAAAACAAUAUGAAAGUAAUACAGUGAGAAACAGGAAUAUAAGAAAAUAAUCUGAAAACAUCAAUAGCUCUAAUCCAAUUAAAUCUCUAUGAUACCAUUUCUCCUAGCUCUAACUGAACAUAGUAUACUCACCAAUGUAUCAUAAUAUCAGAGUUCUACAAGUUUCAAAGUGAACAUUGUAUACUCAUCAAUGCUUCAUAAUAUAACGUUACAACAUUGUCCAAUGUUGUUGAACAAACCACUGUCAAAAUCAUCUAAACUUGAUAUGUACUGUGAGAGUUACACAAUUAAAAGAAAUGCAACUAAAAUACUUGGUGCUUGGAGAAUUAGAUGUUCUUUACAAACUUCUAAUUGCCAAAAAAGAUUAAAACAAUUAUUCUUUAUACCUUAAGACUGUAUUGGCAGCCAGAGAAAGAGGAUUCAUCACAAGCGAAUGCCACAACAAUGUCGAGAGAUGCCGAUGCGCAAGAGACGAACCAGCCAAACAAGAAAGUGUACGAUGAAGAAGGCUCAGUUGAUGACAGGUGCUUCGGCCACCAAAUUCUACAUUGUUUUCUCAUUUUUCACCUCAUGAUCAUCUCAUAGAAUCAACUAAUUAUUCGAUCAUCAAUCACUCUCCUAUCCACAAAAGCCAGCACACUAGAUUAAAUUAAAUUAAAUUAUCCGUUAUUUACAAUAUUAUGCAACGUAGGGUAAUAGAUCCAAAACUUUAUUGUUUUCUCCCCGAAAUUUCUCGAGAAACAAAAACAGGAUUGUGAUUAGAAUAAAUUAGCCGUAGUUAAUUAGAUAAUUAAAGUCCAUUGUUAGAAAUAAAGAGAUAAUAAAUAAGUAUACAAAGAAUUAUCAAUCGUAAAAUUUGGACACGGGUAAACAGGUAGAAAGAGAGAGCUCUUACAAGCUGAAGAAAUCGGUGCCAUUACUUCUGGAUUAUUCAGCCAAGAGCGAAAGAAAGCAAAAGGAAAAAUCUGAGACAAAGUGGUGAGUGUUAGCUCGACUCCAUAUCUCUGUACCUCUGUCUGCCAAAUCUCAAAAAUAAAAUUAAUAUAAGAUGAUGGGCUGUGGCAUUUACAGGGGUGGGCGUUUUGGUUUUCGGUUCGCUUUUUACGGAUUUCGGUUCGGUUUACAAUCCGUUCGGGUUUGAUAAUUCAACCCAAACGGUUUGAAAAGCUACUAUGGUUCUGUACGGUUCCGUUUUAAAUUCGGUUUGGGAUCGAUUCGAUUUGAAAUUCGGUUCGGCUUCAGGUUCGGAUUUUCGAUUUCAAUUCCGGUUUAGAUCGUAAGAGGUCGAAUUGUAUUCAUUUUACAUAAAUACAGAAUAUAACACCUAGAACAGCUUUAAUCACACUAUAAAAAUGAAUACAAAUAUAUUCAAUUCAACAACCUUACAAAGUAUAUGUCAAAAUAUGAGAUUUUCAAUUAUAUUUUAUUCAUAAUCCUCAAUCUUAAACUUAAAUUUGAGAGCAACAUGAAUAUACAAAAUUUAGAAAGCCAAAUCUCAAAAAGAAGGCAAAAAAAAUAACAACUGAUUAGCUAAAAACACCACCAUCAUAAGAAUUACAUAAGCAUAAAACAAGAAAACCUCAUAAAUUUUUCUUUUUUACCGGCAAGAUCAAGUCAACCAUAUGUCUUAAGCCCAAAAUGCUACAAUAAAAAGAUUCUCAACCAACAAAGAUACAAAUUUUACACACCCAAAAUAUUCUACAGCAAACUAAGAAUCAGGAAUCAAAAGAAAAAGAAACAAACCCAGAAGAAAGAAAGCCAAGAGAAGCAAGAACGGAAGAAAUAAAAAGGACAAGCCUUUAAAACCGAACCGAACAGUAAACCCGAUCGGGUUAUAUUAGGGGAAAACAAACCUAAAUUACUAGAAACCAAACCCCGUCCCCCUCAAAAUUAAGCGAAGCCUCAUCUCUCUUUGCAAGUAUUCUGCAUUUAGGAAGAUGCUUUCGAUUUUGGGCUUAGAAAAGCCCGGCCCAUAAGCCUCAUCAGUAUUCGUUACACAAUCAUAAUGUUCCACGUGGACUUCAUCGCUUCCUCUGAAUCAAAAACAAGAGAAGCUGCCUCAUUUCGUCCUUGAAUUGAAUUGAACACGUACAUCAUCAAGUAUUGAUGGCUUUAGCGUACAAUCAUUACUCCAAUCUUGUUCUUUUCAAACAAUCAAACGAAGUAAAAUUCAAGUGUUUCACGAGUAUUAGAUGUCAAAUACAAACGAAAAAACGAUGCUUGAGAUGCAACACUCUUUAUCUUGACAAAGAUAAUUCCCCAACUGCAUGCUCCUUCCACGGCCACACAACUGGUACCAUAUUUCUUACCUCUAAUAUAGCUUUAGCAUUUGGCACCAACUUGCCAAUUGAGAUUCUUUCUUUUCGAUAUUUUCUUUCGGUACUUUACUAAUUAGUGUUUAACUGCAGGGGAGAAAGGGUUGUUUGCCCUGGCGCCACCACACCAAGGGAUUGAUGGGGAGUGGAGCGAUCGCUCUGGGGUGAUCGUUUAUAAGUGGAAUGAAAAGGAUGAUAGGCCAAACACUGGAAGUGCUAACUGGAAGAAAAGAUGGAGCUGCUGUGCUGAGUAUGAUAAAAAUGCCCCGCCUUGUCGGACAGGGUGGCAUGUUUCUUACGAUGAUGGCUUCACAUUGUACUAGUCAGUGUUUGAGUUGAAUGUGGACGCCAGAUUGUAAAAUUCAUCUGAAGAAGAAACGAUGACAUGUUUUCUUACUAGUGUAGCAUCUUGCAUAUAUUUCUUGCUAUCUAUGCAUCUCAGAUUGAUGUUGGUUGAAUUGAAUAUGGAGAACAUCUCAUGUUUUGUUGCUACUACCUUGUAUGAUGUCAUGCAUCUCAUUGUGGUUUGUCACUGACUCGGAAAUAAGGUUUUAUUUUCUUACUUAAAAUUGUAAUUCGUUGUAUUAGCAAUGCUCCAUCGAUGCAACAGCUUUUGGUAUAUACCAAAUUCAAAAUGGCCUACUCUAAAAUUUACUCUGGAUUCAUUCACAUAUUAGUCAAUCUUGGAGUAAAUUUUUCCUUCAAUUGGUUGAGGUAAAUGCAUUGAUUCCUGGAAAACGAAAAGAGUCAAUACUUGAUUUCUUGGAUUUUGGGAGAUAAUUUGUUUGCUCCUCACAUCAAUUCACAAGUUCUCAACCUAAAUUGUUCUAAUUAAACUUUUGUCAGUUGCUAGUAACUCUGCUCCUACUGAACCAGUGUCAUACCUCCUCUCUCAUAUAAUGUAGUAACAAGAAGCAAUGAAACAAGAGCAAGAUACUAUCAUAUUUGCUGUAGUUUCAUCGAACCACUCACUCAGCCAUCGGGUGGUAAAGGUUACCGCACCAACACUGACCUGAUUGCUUCACUGCUCAUAUCUUAAUUUGUUGUGAUAAAAUGAAGAUCAUCUUCUAACACGAAAAGCAGAAACAUAAUAAUUUUUAAAAAAUGUAACAACAAAAUCUUGUUCAAAUUUUAUAAUUGAAGAUUAUUUAUAAUGGCAGAUUAAAAAGACUGAAUAUUACACAUAAACGAACAUAUCGAAUAAACUUCAUUUCACUCAAUUAAAUGACCACACCAAACUCUUACUGAACAGUCUUAAAAGAUUCAUGAACAUGCCUCAAGGUCUCUUCGUCUCGAUUCCACUCGGGCGUCGGUGCAUUAACAAAAUGUGCAUAAAGCUUAUUGUUAGCGCAAGUAACACUUAUCAAGCUAUGAGAACCAACACCAUCAAUCUCAUACACAUAAUAAAGCUGUCCUUUAUCAUCCUUCUUCUCCUCAGAAGCCACCUUAUCAGCGCUCGCUAGCAAGUCCUGCAAAUCCACAUCACUCAAAGCAAGAUUAUUCAACACAGCAUCUUUUGGCGCGAGCUGCCGAAACCCCGCCAAGAACGUCAAGUACUCUUUCUCAGUUCUCUUCUUAGGGUUAUAAAACUCACUGUCUGUUCCAUUUGUACCCUUCUCAACUUUCGACACCAAGCGCUCUUUCCAUCCAUCUGGGACAUCGUAAAUGUACUCAGCGGAGGCUUUCUUGUCGGAGUUGCCGCCGUAGCCGCCGUAGUUUGCUGCGCUGGCGGCUGUGCCGUAGUAGAUGUGGUAUGUUUGUGCAGGCUCAGCUAAUGAUGGCGAAGCUGUUAAGAGCGUGGUGGUUGCUAAAGUAGCCGUCAGUAGGGAAGUGAGAGAUUGUUUGGUGGAUGUGAAGAGAGAAGAGUGGGGUGGUUUUGUUGGGGUUUUGCAGGCGGUGGUUGUGGCGGACGAGGAGAUGACGGGGGACGACGGUGAGAAUAUCGCGGCCAUGGAAUGUGGGCUUAGAUUAGUGGAUGUGGUAGCUGCUGUUGGUUGAUUUUUAUGCGAUUUAUUUUAUUUAUUUAUUUAUUUUAAUUACCUGAUAAGAUGAUUAUUUUCCUUAUCCAAUCAAGCGGGGGUAAAGCUUCAGAUGUUAUGUUGUCGGCCCUUUAAAAGGCCUGCCUGCCUGCCUCGUCAUGAAUCUAGGGAUGAUAUUGGGCCAAGCCCGAGUCCGCCCAUAAUUUUUAAAAUUUUUUUAUUUUGAUAUUUAAAUAAUUUAAAUUUAAAAAAAAAAAAAACAUAACCUUCUCUAAUAUAUUACUUGUCAACAAAAUUCCUUUUUAUUACUUUUCAAGUUAGGAAGUCAUGCGUUGAAGGGGUUAAAUGAUAAUGUUAAGUUAUUUGAGAAUUGCGAUUCGUGAGAUUCAUUAAAUUUGUAUUAUGCCAAAUAAAAUGAAUGAAAUUGUUUUGAUUGGGUCACACGAGAAAUUUUUGACGUGCCAACUAAUUUAUUGAUCGGCGUGGUUAAUUGUCUUGGGUAAAGGUAAAGUAUGUAAUAUACGUGAUAUGAAUCUUUUAGAAAAGGAAUUUUAUUGCUGUUGUUAUUAGAUGAUGUCUCAUGAUGAUGAUGAUUAUUUAGCAUUAUUGCAACUAAAUUUCUUCCGUAUUUUUUUGUGUGGGGUUUCAACUCCAUAGCUAUCGUUUUCUACUUAAAAAUUUUACCAACAAGAUUAGCGGCCCCCCACAAUGCAGAGAUUCAUAUACCUUACAUAUAUAUUUAGUUUUCUGUUAUCAAAUUCAUGAUUGUGUUAUUUUUUUUGAAAAUUGUCCUUCAAAAUAAUUGUAUUCCACUUCCACAACAUAUUUUUUUCAGAUAAUUUUAUAGCAUUAUUACAUCUAAAUGGUACAUAAAGAUCAUAAGUUAGAUAUUACAUGUAAUCAAUAUAGUUACUCCUAAUGAGAAUCUAGCAAUGGUUACACUGGUCUGUAAAUGCAGCAACAAUACCCCCCAAGAAAAGGGGGAGAAAAAAAUAACUAAGAUUGUUUUUGUGUUUUGAGAGUGUGAGUUGUGUCACAUGUGUGAAUGUGCGAGGCGUGUGUGAUUGUUCUUUUUCUCCCUUAAGUUUUCAGGUCGGGACAAGUAAGGCCCAUACCCUGAUCUAAAUUAGUAUUUAAGCUAUAAAGCGACCCUUAACUCUUAAAUUAGGUCAAAAUAAGAAAAUUUUGGAUAAGAUCAAUCAGUCCAAAAAUCGAGUUUGAUUUUUUUGUCAUCCCUAAUCAUGAUUGCUUGAAAAGCAAAACUUUGUUAUAAUUUGGUCAUAAUUAUUUACAUGUAUUCAAGUUUUAGAUUAUUAUUUAUUUAUUUAUUAACACAAAUUAUCACUGCUCAGUACAAGAUUAGAUUAUGAGAUAAUUUUAAUUCAAAUAGUUCCUACACUAUGAAUAUCCAUUUUUGAGGGCUUUGAUUUUUUAACAACUUUCUUUAAGGAUAAUAGAGACUAAAAAAUAAAUUAGAUCUCAUUUCAAUAUUUCUGAGAGGUACAUGUACCAUAUUAAAAAAAAUUUGAAUAAGAGAUAAAAUGAGUCCCUAGCAUUGGGGCUAUAAACCCAAAAAUAGUACCUAUGAGUAAUCCAAUUCUCUUCUCAUAUACAUUUAUAUCUACCUGAGGUCCUGAGCUAAGACACGCUUCAUUCACAUGCACAUAUAUAUUAAAUUGCGUCAUAACAAACAUACCCAAAUAAUUUGUCAACAAAAUUGUUAUGAUAUAUAAUUUUAAAAAAUUAGCUUCAACCAAUGAGAAUACUUCUCAAGUCCCAAAUUUGGUAAUACCAAAAUUCUGAAAUUCAUUCCGACCCUCACCGAAAACAAUAAUAAAUUUUGGCAUAAUUGCAAUAGAUAGGGGGCAGGGGCAAUAAUGUACUUGCAGUCCCAAAAAGACACAUCGACCGCCAAAAACCCUAGGGAUAGGGAGCGGGUACUCUCUUGUUUCUAACAUGAAUCAAUGAUGGAAAUUCACGUGCCCCCUUCAUUGUCGCUUCAAUUUCUCUCUCCCCAUUUUAGCUUUCCAUUAAAACAAUCAAUCAAUUGAAUGAUUUUAAGUUUCUAGGGUUUCAAUUGAUUCAUCGGAAGCAAAUAAAAAGGACUCGUUUCGAACACUUUAAUUUAUUUGCGUCUUUCACAAAUUCAAGAACGACACGACAUGUCCAAGAGGUGAUCUUCUUCUUCAAUUCCUUUCAGUUUUGUUUAAUAUUGCUUUUAGAUCGUAGUUUCUGUUUAGCUAAUCUAAAAUUUAUUGCCUUUUUAUGCUUGGUUGCUGGGAAAAUAUGCGCGUUUGAAGAAUGUUAUAAUUUAGCUAUUACUGAUUUAUGAAUUGACUUUGUAGCUAUUAAUGAUCUCAUUGCAUUAGGUAUCUGCCCCUUGUGGUCUUGCUUAUUUCUUGGUUUAAGGUACUGUUAUUGUCAUAAUAAUAUCUUGUGGCUCUUCGAUUCUUUCAGGGUCCUUUGCAAGUUCUUUGCUCAUGGAGCAUGUCUGAAAGGCGAGCAUUGUGAAUUUUCACAUGAUUGGAAGGAUCCACCGAAUAAUGUAAAAAUCUCUUGUUCUAUCACUUUUUUCACUUGGUUAUUGACGUUUGUUUAACUGAUUGCUUUUUUAAUCCGAAAAUUGUUUCUUAUGGUUUGUUAAUUGUUAUCUUAGAUAUGCACUUAUUAUCAGAAAGGGUUCUGCUCUUAUGCUAGUCGGUGCAGAUAUGAGCAUGUCAAACCUUCUCGGUCAGAGUUGGCUGCUUCAUCUUCCUCAUCAGUUUCUCAUCCUUCAAGAGCUACAUCAAGUGGGAUAACUAAAGUUCCAGGUGUCAUGCCAGAGCUAUCUGCAUUGAGUAGACCUUUUCUUCCUCCUAACAAGACAGCAUGGAAUCCGGAGUCUGUGUGCAAUGAUUCUUUAGAGAAUGAUGAGGUUGACGAGCCCAGGAAUCUAAAACCUGCUGACCGUUCUAUCUGUUCAUUUGCUGCUGCUGGUAAUUGUCCUCGUGGGGAAAAAUGUCCUCAUAUUCAUGGAGACACAUGCCCAACUUGUGGGAAGCAAUGCUUGCAUCCUUUCAGACCUGAAGAAAGAGAAGAGCAUAUGAAAUCUUGUGAGAAAAAGCAAAAGCACCUUGAAGCUCUAAGACGUAGCCAAGAAAUUGAAUGCAGUGUGUGUUUGGAUCGUGUAUUAUCAAAGCCUACGGCAGCUGAACGAAAAUUUGGGUUGCUAUCUGAAUGUGAUCAUCCAUUCUGUAUAUCCUGUAUCAGGAAUUGGCGUAGUAGUUCUCCAACCUCUGGAAUGGAUGUCAAUACUGCACUGAGGGCUUGUCCAAUUUGCCGGAAGCUAUCAUAUUUUGUAAUUCCAAGUGUCAUUUGGUAUUACACACCAGAAGAAAAACAGGAAAUUAUUGAUAGCUACAAGUCGAAACUCAAGUAAUUCUGGAAUCUAUUGACCCAUUGCUCAUCAUUGUUUUCUAAUUUAUUGUUAUGCAUUUUACACGAUUUUAGACAAUUUUUUUUAAAUUUUACAGCAGGGCAGUUUACAUAAUUAUAGACUUGAGGUGCUUUUCUUUUAGUCAUGGCUUUGGACAUAACCUUUUUUUUUUUUUGGUUUCGUUUCUUGCAGGUCAAUCGAUUGCAAGCACUUUAACUUUGGUAAUGGCAACUGCCCAUUUGGAACUAGUUGUUUCUACAAGGUAACUUAACUGUCAAUAUCAGUUGCAGCUAUGUAGUUAUUUAUUUUUACCCUUUUACCCCUUAGUAGUGUGAAGCUGGUUAUAAAUGCUUGUUGAAGGCAUGAAAUUUUGCAAGUUCUUUAUUAUUGCUAUGCUGUUUUCCUCCUCUUUUAUGUUCAAUGAGUGUCAAUUGGAUGUCUUUUUCGGUGCUUUAAUUUUUCUUUUUUUUUCCCCCCUGAUCAAAGAUCAGGGAAAUAAUGUUUUCGAAAUCUGUAUCAUGUGCUGUAGGUGAAUGCUAUGGUAGGGUUUUAGUCAUUUGGAUGAUCAUUUUGAACUCAACAACUGGGCUUUUGAGCCAAUAAAGCAUUUGUAUCAGUGAACAUGAGUUCAGCCCAUGACCUCAAUUUGGGAGUUCAGUGUGAAAACUUAUUUUGAAACAGGAGUUCUGGUCCCAGCUAUGUAUGGGAGUAACAUUGCUGUUGGAGAGUGGGAACUGUCUAUAUACUGUAUGUCAGAUCCAUAUCCAUUUCCACGUCUGCUAUAUAAUAAGGGUGUGUUGUUAUCUUUUCAUGUGGCUUUAAAGAUCUUGUCUUGUGCUAUGUUUGUUUUGUUAUAAUUCAUGUCCAUGCGAAAUCUGUCAAGGUCAGUUAUUUAGCUCUUCAACAAUUGGUACAACGUUGCCAUGUUAAGAUUUGAAUUGGCCAAAAGAGCAUGAAAAUGAAAGAUGGGACUGAAAUGGAGCAAGUCUGUUACUCUUGAUUAGUUAUGGUAAUGUAGAAGGUGGAUGUUGGUAAUCUUAAGAAUUUUCUUGGAGUUAAAAGGCAACAAUAGUUUGCAGUGCUUUGGAGAAAGUGUUAUUACAAUAAUCAAAUUGAAAUACAUUUUAAAAUAUGUUGAAUCUCAUUGUUGAGGGUAGUGAAAUUCGUACCACCCUUAUGUUUGUGCCGCCAUCUCUCCCUCUCUUCUUGAGUUAUUGUAGUAAUCAGUUUAUGUUGCAUUUUUUUUUUCCUUGUAAUGAUUUUCAUUGAUAGUUGUAGAAUACGUGUAGAGCAUAAAUGUGCUGUUUGUUUUAUCAGUCGCAUCUAUUUGCUGCUGUUCCUUGAGGUUCUGUUGAAAUGGAUCACCUGAGUAAUGACUUCUCUGUUCCAAGUGUUGUGCGCCAUAUGUUCUUCCUUUUUUUUUUUCAUUUAUUUAUUUUCAUAGCUACUAGUAGCAGAGAACGUUGGCUUUAUGUCUCCAUUAAUAGAUAUAAUGUUGUGUUGUGUUCCAGCAUAUGGUCAAGCCUGGUUCUUACAUGUGGAAAUAUCACAGGCCACCUCCACGCAGGCCACCUCCAUUCAGGCCACCUCCAUCAAGAUCCAAUGUUGUGGAUAUGGAUUCAUUUAUUGAUGCGUUCGGGGACUUACUUGGGGAAGAUGAACCUGAUUUUUUUGAUGCUGAAAAUGAAGUUAGAAUGGCUUUGGAUGUGGAGAUGGCUUUGUUAUUAACGCAACUAGAUUUUGACUCAAGUGACUCGAGUGAUUAUGAGAGUUAUUUAGAUUAAGUUAUUAGAACUCGCUAUGAUAUCUCUAGUCCAUUCUGUGUUGGACAUUUGAGUUGUCGUUCAUCUUGGUGUUUUGAUAGUCCACUACAUUUUGCAUCAUGGAAUAAGAUGAAGCUUUUGGUUUGUUUCCUUUGAAUAUAUAAUGAAUUCUAGUUUAUUAUGGUUUGGAUUUCUCUCUCUAGUGGAAUUUAGUAGUAAGUUGAUGUUGGCAUUGUCUUGCCUGGAAAUUAUGUGUAUGAUUUUCUGACGCCUGUUGCUAACCAUUGAUUACUAUUCAUCUGUGAAGUUUUGGCUGUUAUUUUGUUGUGUUUAUUGACAUUCCAUCUUUGCAGCAUGCCUAUACAGAUGGUCGUUUGGAGGAAGUUGUUCUGCGUCACCUUGGGUCAGACGAUGGAAGCACUGUGAUAGCUAAAGAUAUCAGGUUCACUAAUUUAUCUCAAUUAACAGUUACUCUGGUUUAAAAGCUCAUUUUUCUUUUAUCUUUUUUGAAAUAUAUUUUCCUACUAAAUUUUUUCAGGUUGUCAGAGUUCCUUACUAAUAUGCACAUAAGGUGAAAAGAGUUGUUAAAGCAUUCCAGCGUAAGUUAUCAAGAAAUGAAUCCUCUUUUGUGUUUUCAACAACUAAUUAAGUGCAGUGGCAUCCUAGGCAUUUGGUAAUCAACAAUGGCAUUGACUACGGUCCAUCUAGAGAUAUCACUUACUCAUUUAAUUUAACAUUUAUGAGAAGUCUCCAGUUAUAGCAACCUGUCAUAUGCUUAGUUAUGGCUUGCUGACACCCUUUCUUCAUGUAUGCAGGAUAUCUAAUAAUGUCAAGAUAUAUUAGCAACAUUGAUGUGGAAGUCGUCCUACAUAGUCAGUGUCAUGCUCUUGUAAUCUUUUGAGGUAAGGUGCAGUUAUCUGAUAUUCUAUGGCUUUUUAACUUCUGGUAACACAAUCAUGAUAUUCUAUGUGUUCAAUUGUGGAGAUUGAAAGAAUCAGUUUUGAUGAAACUGUAUUUGGAAAGCAUUUAGAUUAACAAAAACUUGUUCAAUUAUGUAUGCCCUGCAAUUUCAUUCUUGUGAUUCUUGGAAUUCAGAAUAUUUGUGAUUGUUGACAAUUUGCACUCUCUAUUAGGUGUAUACUGAAGCAAUAACUGUUAUGGAUGCAUGUACAUUGUUUAUCACAUUCUCUGCUCUGUUCAGCUCGUGCAUGGUGCCAAAUGCAGGAUUGCUGGCCAGUUGCCUGAGGGGACCUUCAUGUGGAAAGCUUGAGCAUGCUGGAUUGUAUAACAAACUGCAGAUUAUAUGACCUUGAAUUACAUAAUAAUAGAAAAAACUGAUGGAUGGGUGAAUUUAUUCGAAUUUGAAAUAACAGAUGUGUCAGUUGCAGUGUUUCUUACCCACUUGGCUUCUUGUCCCCAAAAGUGAGAAAUUAGAGACUGUCUGCUUUCAGUAUUUGAUUGUUACAGUAAUAGAAUGUAAAUGCAUGGAGUGACGAAAUACUUUCUGGAGUCGUCAUUCAUUUUGCAGAGUGUUGUAUGCAAGUUUGAAAUCUAUAUGGAACUACACAAAAGCUUCUACUUGAAUUUUGUGUUCUUGUUUCAAAGCAUAUGUUAAAGAUUACACUGUUUUGCGCAUGCAAGGGAAAAAUUACACAAUUUUUUUGGCGUUUAUCAUUGGAAGUGGCUCGCUCGGUGACUGAAUUUUACAAUUUUCUUGAUGUCUGUGUUACCUCGAUGGAUAAUACAGGAAAAAUAAAUAUAUUCCUAAUUCCAUCAGAAAAAAUAAAAUAAAAAGAAUUUCUGCCGGUUGAAAAAGUAUUUUUCCGUUCACAUUAAAUUUUCGACCUUUCUUUGUCCGCUAGGAGAAACAACAAAAAAGGGGGAAAAAAAAGAAUAUUCUUCCAAAUGAUUAUUCUGUUUAAUAACAAGAGAUUUUUAAUAAACCAAUAAAAAAGAAAUUAAUAAAAUUCAAUUUGCUUUUUCCAAUUUCUUGUCCCACCACCACAAGGACAUAAAGAGGAGUUGAAUGAAAUGGACUAAGAAUUUGACGAGUUCCUACACAUAUAUGUGUAUAUGUACACACAUGUCAUGUACGGUUUUGCUGCUCAAACUGCAGGCGUGCAAUUUUUCUUGUUCAUUGAUUCAAAUUUCAGUUUCACUUCUUCAGCUCAUAUGUGAGCGCACAAACAGGAUUUGGAAGUUACCAACUUGUUUUUUUUUUUUUUUUUUUUUUUUUGGGCCCCCUAAUUUGGUACAAUUCAACCGGUAUUUUACAAUUAAAAUUUGUAUUUAACCCUUACCAAAAAAAUAUAAUAAUAAAUUUUAGACGCAAUAAUGAGUUAGACAUGUCCUCUACUCUUCGUAAUUUUCUGUCAUAUGUCUAUGUAAAAUAUUAUUAUACGAUUGAGAUUUAAUUAAUUCUAUUUCCGUCUAAUAACUACCAAUUCUAUAUUUAUAAAAGGUUAGCAAAAAAGAACAAUUCAAUUUUAAUAAUAAUUCUCCUGAUUUUAAUCAGAGAAAAUAACAGGAUGAAAAAUUAAAACCCCUUUUUAAUUAAUUUAUCUUCAAUUUAUUAAAUAAUUAAUCAUCAACUUGUGGCUGCGGUGUUUGUAAACCCAAUUGCUUCUAAUAAAUCUCUGAUCUGCACUUAAAUAAUUCAACAACAAUUUUAUGAAGCCAAGUCCCAUUCACACCACAUGAAACUCCCAUAAGAAGUCAAGAACAAAGAGAAAGGAUCAGAGGAUAAACAAAUUAUAUAUAAAAUAAUAUAAAAUCUCUUUUAUUAUUCAACCGUAUAUAACAAAUAUGUAAGGAUGGCUAUAUACAAUAUAAUAUAACAACAACGAAUAAUAAUCAAUAGUGAAUACAAAUAAUAUUAGCCCCAAAAUCUCAAUAAUAAUAAUAAUAACAACCCAUCAUCAACAAAAAGAAAAAGAAGAAGAAGAAAAAAACGAGUGUCUCAAAAACAGAGGGUACAAAAGGAGCCCGAAAAACAAUAUAAUGAAUAGAAACUCAAUGGUUGAGGAAAGCAAGAGCAGACAAGAAGAAAGAAGAGCAAAUGAGGGCCCCAGAAAGCCCCGUAGAAUAAGAAGCAGCUCCCUUGUCCAUGGAUGGUGCCGGCGCAGGUGCCGGUUCUUGAGCAGAAACAACAGCCACAGCAAAAACCGCCAUCACAAAAAUCAAAGCAACUCUAUUAAUCUUCUUCAUUGCUGCCAUUUUUAUGAAAUGCGAGGGGAAGAUGGGAAGGGUCUGGGCUUUUGCUUAGCGAGAUCGUUGAAGACGUCGAUGAUAAUCAACACGAUGAGUGAGAGGAAGCGGUGCUGAAGUCUAUUGUUUAUUGCUUAUUUAUAGGAGAGGAUUUGCGCGUGGGGGCCCCACAGGAACGUGGACAGCUGGCGGGGGAAGUGGCCACGUUGAGAGAACAGAACACAACAUAUGUGUUUUUUAUUUAGUCCGUUAAGAAAACGGCUAGUUACCCUUAACGUGGCGGUGGUUCAGACUUAAAGACUUUAAUACGUUGCUGCUGAUGAUGGUUUCUUGCUUCGUUGUUCGGCGAACGCUUCUUUUUUUAUCCAACCGUUAACCUACCUUUCCCCUAACCCAUGGCUAGGUCAAACCCCACACAAAUAUCUUUCACUCGCGGCAGAAUGGGGAAAUUUACAUCAAUAAUCAUAAAAAUUUUAACUUUUUUUAUCUUAACCCCCCA
This 16015-nucleotide long non-coding RNA is filed under the name Citrus x clementina. RNAcentral's name for it is "Citrus clementina (C. clementina) long non-coding RNA (CCLE_LNC003706)". Lineage: Eukaryota; Viridiplantae; Streptophyta; Magnoliopsida; Sapindales; Rutaceae. The record is from RNAcentral.